Molecule: long non-coding RNA, 934 nt
Organism: Harpegnathos saltator (Jerdon's jumping ant)
Lineage: Eukaryota; Metazoa; Arthropoda; Insecta; Hymenoptera; Formicidae
Exons: 3
Source: RefSeq, a predicted model, not a curated record
GAAGCCAAGCCGCUACGUGGCGCUAGCAACAGUCACCAUGUGUUUACGUCUGUAAUUUCAAUGACUUGAGGACGAAAAUGUGAGAAAAGCAUGGCAAGCAGCUUUAAAGAAACGAUAUAACUAUCAACUCAAAACAAGCUGUAUGCCAUCAUCACUUUUUAAGUAGUGAUAUUUUGUGGAAACGUGAAAUUUGUGAUGAGAAGGGAAAUGUUCUUGGUGUGUCUGCGCCAUUUAAAAUUCCAAGGCUAUGUAAAGGGGUUGUGCCUUCACAAUUCCCCUGGUUUGAAGAAACUCCAAAUAUAGAAGAUACAUAUUCUAUACAUAUUGAUCAAAAUGUACACGACCUGCAUAUUGAACAACAUGAAGAAAAUGAACAUGUGAUAGUACCAUCAUUAAAUAAUACAAUAGAGGAUCGUACGACAAUGUUAUCAUUUGAUAGCUUAAUAGAUAGUAUAAACAGAAAACAGUUUAAUAUGCCAAGUCAAUGGAUGCAUAUACAAUAUUGCAGUAGUGACACACGAUUAUUGGUAUUUUUUUUAGCAACAUGCAACAAAAUAGAAAAUUAUAAUGACAGAUAUUCAUUUAACCCUAUCAAAGAAGUCAUACUCAAAGAAGAUAUGACAUUACAAAUAAAUGUCUUAAAGCAACCCGUUUUAAAUAUUCCAUCACACAUACAGAUUUAUAAUAAUAUCAAUAUAAUAGAACUGCUACAAGAGACAUUAUUUUUUUUUGAUAGCCUUGACAUAUGUUGUGGUACAAAUAAAAGUGAGAUUAAAGAUGUUGAAUAUAAUGAAGCUUUUAAAGAUAUUAAUGGUAUAUGGAGACACAAGAAAUGUUUAUUACUUUCAUCCCAGAAAUGUAAAUUUUGUGCCAUUGCAAACAAAUCUAUAAAUCAAAAAUACCGUCGGAGAAAAAUAAUAAAAUCAAUUAAAAG